AUUGAACGCUAGCGGCAGGCCUAACACAUGCAAGUCGAGCGGAUGAAGGGAGCUUGCUCCUGGAUUCAGCGGCGGACGGGUGAGUAAUGCCUAGGAAUCUGCCUGGUAGUGGGGGAUAACGUCCGGAAACGGGCGCUAAUACCGCAUACGUCCUGAGGGAGAAAGUGGGGGAUCUUCGGACCUCGCGCUAUCAGAUGAGCCUAGGUCGGAUUAGCUAGUUGGUGGGGUAAAGGCCUACCAAGGCGACGAUCCGUAACUGGUCUGAGAGGAUGAUCAGUCACACUGGAACUGAGACACGGUCCAGACUCCUACGGGAGGCAGCAGUGGGGAAUAUUGGACAAUGGGCGAAAGCCUGAUCCAGCCAUGCCGCGUGUGUGAAGAAGGUCUUCGGAUUGUAAAGCACUUUAAGUUGGGAGGAAGGGCAGUAAGUUAAUACCUUGCUGUUUUGACGUUACCAACAGAAUAAGCACCGGCUAACUUCGUG
Molecule: ribosomal RNA, 484 nt
Filed under: uncultured bacterium
Lineage: Bacteria
Description: partial 16S ribosomal RNA
Rfam family: Bacterial small subunit ribosomal RNA
Source: RNAcentral